Molecule: ribosomal RNA, 462 nt
Filed under: uncultured bacterium
Lineage: Bacteria
Description: bacterial SSU rRNA
Rfam family: Bacterial small subunit ribosomal RNA
Source: RNAcentral
GGGCCCGCACAAGCAGUGGAGUAUGUGGUUUAAUUCGAAGCAACGCGAAAAACCUUACCAGGUCUUGACAUCCAACUAACGAAGCAGAAAUGCAUCAGGUGCCCUUCGGGGAAAGUUGAGACAGGUGGUGCAUGGUUGUCGUCAGCUCGUGUCGUGAGAUGUUGGGUUAAGUCCCGCAACGAGCGCAACCCUUACCAUUAGUUGCUACGCAAGAGCACUCUAAUGGGACUGCCGUUGACAAAACGGAGGAAGGUGGGGACGACGUCAAAUCAUCAUGCCCUUUAUGAUCUGGGCUACACACGUACUACAAUGGCGACUAACAGAGGGGAGCAAAGGCGCGAGCCGGAGCGAAUCCCAAAAAGUCGUCUCAGUUCGGAUUGUAGGCUGCAACUCGCCUACAUGAAGUCGGAAUUGCUAGUAAUCGCGGAUCAGCAUGCCGCGGUGAAUACGUUCCCGGGCCUU